GACGAACGCUGGCGGCGUGCUUAACACAUGCAAGUCGAACGGAAAGGCCCUGCUUUUGUGGGGUGCUCGAGUGGCGAACGGGUGAGUAACACGUGAGUAACCUGCCCUUGACUUUGGGAUAACUUCAGGAAACUGGGGCUAAUACCGGAUAGGAGCUCCUGCUGCAUGGUGGGGGUUGGAAAGUUUCGGCGGUUGGGGAUGGACUCGCGGCUUAUCAGCUUGUUGGUGGGGUAGUGGCUUACCAAGGCUUUGACGGGUAGCCGGCCUGGGAGGGUGACCGGCCACAUUGGGACUGAGAUACGGCCCAGACUCCUACGGGAGGCAGCGGUGGGGAAUAUUGCGCAAUGGGCGGAAGCCUGAUGCAGCAACGCCGCGUGCGGGAUGACGGCCUUCGGGUUGUAAACCGCUUUCGCAUGUGACGAAGCGUGAGUGACGGUAAUGGGUAAAGAAGCACCGGCUAACAACGUG
RNAcentral lists this ribosomal RNA (468 nucleotides) under uncultured bacterium. RNAcentral describes it as "partial 16S ribosomal RNA". It matches the Rfam family "Bacterial small subunit ribosomal RNA", at positions 28 to 507 of the family's 1533-position model. The record is from RNAcentral.